CACGCCGUAAACGAUGAGUGCUAGGUGUUGGGGGGUUCCACCCUCAGUGCUGAAGUUAACACAUUAAGCACUCCGCCUGGGGAGUACGACCGCAAGGUUGAAACUCAAAGGAAUUGACGGGGGCCCGCACAAGCAGUGGAGCAUGUGGUUUAAUUCGAAGCAACGCGAAGAACCUUACCAGGUCUUGACAUCCUCUGACAAUCCUGGAGACAGGACGUUCCCCUUCGGGGGACAGAGUGACAGGUGGUGCAUGGUUGUCGUCAGCUCGUGUCGUGAGAUGUUGGGUUAAGUCCCGCAACGAGCGCAACCCUUGAUCUUAGUUGCCAGCAUUUAGUUGGGCACUCUAAGGUGACUGCCGGUGACAAACCGGAGGAAGGUGGGGAUGACGUCAAAUCAUCAUGCCCCUUAUGACCUGGGCUACACACGUGCUACAAUGGACGGUACAAAGGGCAGCGACACCGCGAGGUGAAGCAAAUCCCAUAAAGCCGUUCUCAGUUCGGAUUGCAGGCUGCAACUCGCCUGCAUGAAGCCGGAAUUGCUAGUAAUCGCGGAUCAGCAUGCCGCGGUGAAUACGUUCCCGGGCCUUGUACACACCGCCC
Molecule: ribosomal RNA, 599 nt
Filed under: Guptibacillus hwajinpoensis
Lineage: Bacteria; Bacillati; Bacillota; Bacilli; Caryophanales; Guptibacillaceae
Description: bacterial SSU rRNA
Rfam family: Bacterial small subunit ribosomal RNA
Source: RNAcentral